UUUUUGAAGUCUUCGGAUGGAUAGAAGAACCCCUGAUGCCGUCGAGCCAAGAAAAGUUUCUAAGUUUAGCUAAUGUUGCCCGUACCGUAAACCGACACAGGUGGGUGGGAUGAGUAUUCUAAGGCGCGUGGAAGAACUCUCUUUAAGGAACUCUGCAAAAUAGCACCGUAUCUUCGGUAUAAGGUGUGGUUAGCUUUGUAUUAGGAUUUACUCCGAAAGCAAGGAAACUUACAACAAAGAGUCCCUCCCGACUGUUUACCAAAAACACAGCACUCUGCUAACUCGUAAGAGGAUGUAUAGGGUGUGACGCCUGCCCGGUGCUCGAAGGUUAAUUGAUGGGGUUAGCAUUAGCGAAGCUCUUGAUCGAAGCCCGAGUAAACGGCGGCCGUAACUAUAACGGUCCUAAGGUAGCGAAAUUCCUUGUCGGUUAAAUACCGACCUGCAUGAAUGGCGUAACGAGAUGGGAGCUGUCUCAAAGAGGGAUCCAGUGAAAUUGUAGUGGAGGUGAAAAUUCCUCCUACCCGCGGCAAGACGGAGAGACCCCGUGGACCUUUACUACAGCUUGACACUGCUAUUUGGAUAAGAAUGUGCAGGAUAGGUGGGAGGCUUUGAGUAUAUGACGCCAGUUGUAUAUGAGCCAUUGUUGAGAUACCACUCUUUCUUAUUUGGGUAGCUAACCAGCUUGAGUUAUCCUCAAGUGGGACAAUGUCUGGUGGGUAGUUUGACUGGGGCGGUCGCCUCCCAAAUAAUAACGGAGGCUUACAAAGGUUGGCUCAGAACGGUUGGAAAUCGUUCGUAGAGUAUAAAGGUAUAAGCCAGCUUAACUGCAAGACAUACAAGUCAAGCAGAGACGAAAGUCGGUCUUAGUGAUCCGGUGGUUCUGUGUGGAAGGGCCAUCGCUCAAAGGAUAAAAGGUACCCCGGGGAUAACAGGCUGAUCUCCCCCAAGAGCUCACAUCGACGGGGAGGUUUGGCACCUCGAUGUCGGCUCAUCGCAUCCUGGGGCUGGAGCAGGUCCCAAGGGUAUGGCUGUUCGCCAUUUAAAGCGGUACGCGAGCUGGGUUCAGAACGUCGUGAGACAGUUCGGUCCCUAUCUGCCGUGGGCGUAAGAAGAUUGAAGAGAUUUGACCCUAGUACGAGAGGACCGGGUUGAACAAACCACUGGUGUAGCUGUUGUUCUGCCAAGAGCAUCGCAGCGUAGCUAAGUUUGGAAAGGAUAAACGCUGAAAGCAUCUAAGCGUGAAGCCAACUCUAAGAUGAAUCUUCUCUAAGCUCUCUAGAAGACUACUAGUUUGAUAGGCUGGGUGUGUAAUGGAUGAAAGUCCUUUAGCUGACCAGUACUAAUAGAGCGUUUGGCUUAUCUUUAAUAAAGCAU
RNAcentral lists this ribosomal RNA (1374 nucleotides) under Campylobacter jejuni. Its description in RNAcentral is "partial 23S ribosomal RNA". It matches the Rfam family "Bacterial large subunit ribosomal RNA", at positions 1561 to 2925 of the family's 2925-position model. Lineage: Bacteria; Pseudomonadati; Campylobacterota; Epsilonproteobacteria; Campylobacterales; Campylobacteraceae. The record is from RNAcentral.